CCUACGGGUGGCUGCAGUGGGGAAUAUUGGACAAUGGGGGGAACCCUGAUCCAGCCAUGCCGCGUGUGUGAAGAAGGCCCUCGGGUUGUAAAGCACUUUCAGUGAGGAAGAACGCCUGGUGGUUAAUACCCAUCAGGAAAGACAUCACUCACAGAAGAAGCACCGGCUAACUCCGUGCCAGCAGCCGCGGUAAUACGGAGGGUGCGAGCGUUAAUCGGAAUUACUGGGCGUAAAGCGCGCGUAGGUGGCUUGAUAAGCCGGUUGUGAAAGCCCCGGGCUCAACCUGGGAACGGCAUCCGGAACUGUCAAGCUUGAGUGCAGGAGAGGACGGUAGAAUUCACGGUGUAGCGGUGAAAUGCGUAGAGAUCGGGAGGAAUACCAGUGGCGAAGGCGGCCUUCUGGACUGACACUGACACUGAGGUGCGGAAGCGUGGGUAGCACACAGGAUUAGAUACCCUAGUAGUC
This 465-nucleotide ribosomal RNA is filed under the name Vreelandella stevensii. RNAcentral's name for it is "partial 16S ribosomal RNA". It matches the Rfam family "Bacterial small subunit ribosomal RNA", at positions 338 to 795 of the family's 1533-position model. The record is from RNAcentral. Lineage: Bacteria; Pseudomonadati; Pseudomonadota; Gammaproteobacteria; Oceanospirillales; Halomonadaceae.